AGGCCUAACACAUGCAAGUCGAGCGACGGGCCUUCGGGCUACGGAGCGGCGAACGGGUGAGUAACACGUGAGAAACCUACCCUUUCAUUCCGGAUAAUUGGCUGAAAAGCCUUGUAAUACGGGGGGGGCUCCUCGGAUGGCAUCUUCUGAGGAACAAACAAGCAAUUGGUGUAAGGAUGGUCUCGCGGCUUAUCAGCUAGUUGGUGGGGUAACGGCCUACCAAGGAUACGACGAGUAGCUGGUCUGAGAGGAUGCUCAGCCACAUUGGAACUGAGAUACUGUCCAGACUCAUACGGGAGGCUGCAGUCGAGAAUCUUGGGCAAUGCACGAAAGUGUGACCCAGCGACGCCGCGUGGAGGAUGAAGGCCCUCUGGGUUGUAAACUCCUCUCACGGGGGAAGAAUCAAUGACGGUACCCAGGUGAAUAACCCUACGUCUAACUACAUUCCAUCA
RNAcentral lists this ribosomal RNA (452 nucleotides) under uncultured bacterium. RNAcentral describes it as "bacterial SSU rRNA". It matches the Rfam family "Bacterial small subunit ribosomal RNA", at positions 44 to 513 of the family's 1533-position model. The record is from RNAcentral.